CCUACGGGAGGCAGCAGUGGGGAAUAUUGGACAAUGGGCGAAAGCCUGAUCCAGCAAUGCCGCGUGAGUGAUGAAGGCCUUAGGGUUGUAAAGCUCUUUUACCAGGGAUGAUAAUGGCAGUACCUGGAGAAUAAGCUCCGGCUAACUCCGUGCCAGCAGCCGCGGUAAUACGGAGGGAGCUAGCGUUGUUCGGAAUUACUGGGCGUAAAGCGUACGUAGGCGGUUAUUCAAGUCAGAGGUGAAAGCCUGGAGCUCAACUCCAGAACUGCCUUUGAAACUAGAUAGCUAGAAUCUUGGAGAGGUGAGUGGAAUUCCGAGUGUAGAGGUGAAAUUCGUAGAUAUUCGGAAGAACACCAGUGGCGAAGGCGACUCACUGGACAAGUAUUGACGCUGAGGUACGAAAGCGUGGGGAGCAAACAGGAUUAGAUACCCUGGUAGUCCACGCCGUAAACGAUGAUAACUAGCUGUUCGGGCUCUACGAGCUUGAGUGGCGCAGACUACGACAUAAGUUAUCCGUCCGUCGGGAGGUACGGUACGCGAAGAAUUAAAACGUUAAAAUUAAGUAAGUUAGUACGGACGUAGAGACGUAGCGAACGGACGACGACGAGGGAGGAGG
This 616-nucleotide ribosomal RNA is filed under the name uncultured bacterium. RNAcentral describes it as "bacterial SSU rRNA". The stretch from base 1 to 518 matches the Rfam family "Bacterial small subunit ribosomal RNA", at positions 338 to 873 of the family's 1533-position model. The record is from RNAcentral.